RNAcentral lists this microRNA precursor (126 nucleotides) under Daucus carota subsp. sativus. Its description in RNAcentral is "sRNA DCAR_mi00194". The record is from RNAcentral. Lineage: Eukaryota; Viridiplantae; Streptophyta; Magnoliopsida; Apiales; Apiaceae.
UUGUUCCUUGAAUCAACAACUUUAUGAUCAAAUAAUUGCUGGAAGAAGCAUAUAAUAUGCUUUUGGAAUUGAAAGAAAAUAAUUGCUUGCAUGAUGAAAUUACAUACAACACUCUUAUCCACGGAU